AUCACACUCUGCCAGAGUAUCAAAAAUUUCCCCGUCCAAACGCGUUUCCCCUAGCUUCUUUUAACCCAACGCCAUACACGUUCACCCGCCAUUCGCCCACAACGAAAACCUUCCGCUGUGGGCACUGUCCUUCAGCGAAACUCAAAAUCAAACAAUGGCGUCCGCCUCCUUCCUCUUCUCAACUCUCUCCAUCCCAAUUUCUCGCGAGAAAACGAACCCCACCAUCUCAUCUCGCAUCCGCUGCUGCGAGGACACUCUCGGGAACCCUAAUCUCAAGCUGAUAGACGCGUCUAACGGUAAAGGCAUGGAUCGUUUUCCAGAGAAGCUGUCCGUCGCGAGGGCAGGGUCCUGUCCUCGGCCGCGACGGAUCAUCCUGGUACGUCACGGGCAGAGCGAGGGUAACGUGGAUGAGAGUGUAUAUACAAUGGUGCCGGACCCGAAGAUAAAGCUGACGCAGAAGGGCUGGGAUGAAGCGGAGGGAUGCGGGAAGAUGAUAAGGGACAUGAUCGAAUCGGACGGUGUGGAUGAUUGGAAGGUGUAUUUCUACGUGUCGCCAUACGCGAGGACGCUGGAGACGCUGCGAGGGCUGGGGCGGGCGUUCGAUAGGGAUAGGAUUGCUGGGGUGAGGGAGGAGCCGCGACUGCGCGAGCAGGAUUUCGGAAAUUUUCAGGAUCGGGAGAAAAUGCGGAUCGAAAAGGUACUCCGCAAUCGCUAUGGCCGUUUCUUCUACCGCUUUCCUGAUGGGGAAUCUGCUGCUGAUGUUUAUGACCGAAUAACAGGAUUCAGGGAGACCCUUAGAGCAGAUAUUGACAUUGGACGCUUUCAACCACCUGGUAAACGGACAGAGAACAUGAAUUUAGUAAUAGUGUCACAUGGCCUAACAUUGCGAGUGUUUCUGAUGAGGUGGUACAAAUGGACUGUGGAGCAAUUUGAAGGUCUCAACAAUUUUGACAAUGGAGGAAUGCUCGUUAUGGAACUUGGCGACGGUGGAAGGUACAGCUUACUGGUGCAUCACACCGAGGAAGAGCUGCGCAGGUUCGGUUUAACAGAUGAGAUGCUCACUGAUCAAAAAUGGCAAAAAACUGCAAGGCCAGGUGAAUUGAAUUAUGAAUGUAAUGUGUCCGGACCAUCAUUCUUCAAGCAUUUGAGUUAAAAUGCCUAUAUUGGAGGACAAGAAAAGAUGAGCGGUUUGAUCGUGGCCUUCACCAAAGCAUAUCUGCCAUGGCCUGAAUGCUUGGAGCUGCAUCUUUAGCACACAUGGUGAGUGGGUCAACAUUAUCUUUCGGACAUGGUGGAUGCAAGGUGGCCUUUACAUGAUGAAUGGCUUGGAUAUUUCAUCAGCAUGCCAAUGCCGGCAUAUGUGGUGGUUUGUACAUUAGGAGACUGUUUGGAUGCAUCUUAUAUGAUGUAGAGCGGGUCGCGGACAGUUUCAUGGCCAAGAUGGAUCAGAAGAGGCCCCAUCGCAAGCGGAAGUGAUCCAGACCGUCAGGACCUUAAAUCAGGUUUAUCUCGCAAUACAGAAUGAGUUAUUUGGUGUACCAUAUAUGAUUUUGGGAUAGAACGAGCUACUGUAGCCACCCAACCUACUAUGUCGAGUUGCACAUGCUGAAUUUACAAAAUAUUAUCAGAUCGACGGUUGAAUUCCCGUUUUA
RNA transcript from Magnolia sinica, 1652 nucleotides. It is a transcript of the gene named phosphoglycerate mutase-like protein AT74H, with no coding region annotated. NCBI's taxonomy places the organism in Eukaryota, Viridiplantae, Streptophyta, Magnoliopsida, Magnoliales, Magnoliaceae. The transcript has 7 exons. The record is from RefSeq and is a predicted model, not a curated record.